Quercus robur (English oak) is the source of this 714-nucleotide long non-coding RNA. RefSeq lists it as uncharacterized. NCBI's taxonomy places the organism in Eukaryota, Viridiplantae, Streptophyta, Magnoliopsida, Fagales, Fagaceae. The record is from RefSeq and is a predicted model, not a curated record. The transcript has 2 exons.
UCUUCUAAAGGAGAGGAAGGGGGAGAGGAAGAGCAAGAGAUUCCCUCUCCUCACCAUGCUGGUGGCUCUUCUAGUUCCUUCACGGAGACUUAUCCCCAUUUUUCGACAUGACAGUAUGAUGUGAUGAAUCCUGAUGGAAUGUAUAGUUCCAUGCCUUUGACUAGGCCAGCGCAUGCACCAAAUGUUCCUUGGCCCGAUCUGAUAUAUUCUUGAAUUUUCAAUUCUUUGUCCUUAUUUCUUCUUAUCUUGAUGAACGGCUCUUAACCUGGUAGAGUUGUGCUUCAGGUUGAUGUGGAUGUACUGGAAAAAGCAUAUGGAUGAUUGGAUGCUUGCAGUCAUUGGCUCACACUCAAUCCUCCCAAUAUCUGCUCAAUGAUUUGAACUGGGCACAUAGAAUGGAAACUGUUGAUGCUACCAGAAGAACUUUAGAGGAAAGGAUCAGGAGCCUCAAACUUGAAAACCAUUAGUAUGAUCCUUGCUUUUUCGCCAGUCAAGAAGGAAAUACUGAAGGUGGCUCCUCUGGAGGUGGAUCAAGGAGAUCCUUACGCAGGCGGACACGGAGUCCUAAUGAUGUAUAACUUGUAUAUUUCAUUUUUCCAGCAAAAGAAAAGGAAGUGUUUCUUAGACAAUCUUGUAUUUCCUAUGUUCAGCUCUUUGUCCUUGGAAUCGCCUUAGAUCAUGUAGAAACUUUAACUAAGACAAGUUUAGAAUUCA